Molecule: long non-coding RNA, 412 nt
Organism: Pyrus x bretschneideri (Chinese white pear)
Lineage: Eukaryota; Viridiplantae; Streptophyta; Magnoliopsida; Rosales; Rosaceae
Exons: 2
Source: RefSeq, a predicted model, not a curated record
GCGGUUUCUCCCCUCUGAAUAUGAUUCUCCCAAACAGAACAGAUGAGAGAGUUUGUGACGAAGGAAGAAAAAUGGGUGGAGAAGAAAGAGCGGACCCACCGGCCCCGAAGGUCCUCCGUCUCCUCUAUUUCGUCGGCGCCGGAUUUAUUUGCACCGUUGGAAUCAGUAAGUAGCGCGAGAUGCAGCGCAAGUCCAUGGCUUUACAGCAACAGCAGCAGCUCCCCGAAAAUGCUGCAAAUGCCCUUGAGUGAUGUCAGGUUUUUGUUUGAAAUUCUUGCUGAAUGUGUGAAACAGUAACAAUUUGAGUGAUUUGUUCUGAAAUUUUGCAUAAAUAUGAAAUCUUGCUGUGUUUUGAGCCGGAUUUUCGAAUUUCGCCGCGGAAUUUGGCAAUCUGUCUCAGCUUUUAAGUUUA